AACGCAGCGAAGGGCGAUAAGUAAUGUGAAUUGCAGAAUUCAGUGAAUCAUCGAAUCUUUGAACGCACAUUGCGCCCGCUAGUACUCUAGCGGGCAUGCCUGUUCGAGCGUCAUUUCAACCCUCAAGCCCUGCUUGGUGUUGGGGGCCCUACGGCUGCCGUAGGCCCUGAAAGGAAGUGGCGGGCUCGCUACAACUCCGAGCGUAGUAAUUCAUUAUCUCGCUAGGGACGUUGCGGCGCGCUCCUGCCGUUAAAGACCAUCUUUAACUCAAGGUUGACCUCGGAUCAGGUAGGAAUACCCGCUGAACUUAA
RNAcentral lists this ribosomal RNA (311 nucleotides) under uncultured fungus. Its description in RNAcentral is "eukaryotic LSU rRNA". The stretch from base 1 to 113 matches the Rfam family "5.8S ribosomal RNA", at positions 42 to 154 of the family's 154-position model. Lineage: Eukaryota; Fungi. The record is from RNAcentral.